This 710-nucleotide long non-coding RNA is filed under the name Falco tinnunculus (common kestrel). RNAcentral describes it as "lncRNA (ENSFTIG00000005295.1)". The record is from RNAcentral. Lineage: Eukaryota; Metazoa; Chordata; Aves; Falconiformes; Falconidae.
AAAAGGCCUUAUGCAUGAUGUACCUUUGGGCAUCAGAAUUAAAAGAAAAAACUCUUAACAGAGUACUGCCAAAAUGAGGAAGAAAAUGAAGAAUCUUAUUACAGACCAGAAUUUUAUAAGCCAGAAGCGGAAGGAUUCAAGUGCUGAGAAUUCACAGACACAAAUGGGGAACAGAAGAAAUCGCAGUUACUUGAGACCAGCAGAACACUGGGAAUGGCUAUGGCUAAGGCAACUCUUCUUCAAGUAAGUGUAUUUCUGAAGAAAAAAGAAGACAUCAGAAAACUGAUGGUCAGGAAAGAGAUCACAGUAGCUGCACUCUACUAGAAAGAACAGUGGACACAGAUGCUGCUUAUAUGUAACAGAGAAAACUAUAAACAUGUUGCCUCGAAGCUCUGGUGUAUCCUGUAACUGAGCCAGGGGCCAUUCAGCUAUGGAAUGUUCAGCUGUGUGGUCACUUUGUGCCCAAAACCUCACCACAUCCAUGAGGAAAAUCACAUUCACUGGAAGUCAAAGCUUGUGUGUAGAAAGACAGAUAUGCUGUUGUAAUCUUUAAAUUCUUCAUUACCUUAAGCAUGUAUCAUGGCUUUUGGCAUUUCUCUCUUAUUAAACCUUCACCUCCUUUAGGGGUCAGUCAAAGCACAGGCUAUCUGUACUGCCACUAGAUACCUAAUGAUAACCCGUUAUGUGUGUCCUUCAGUAAAAUGAAAUUA